AUCCAACUGACGAGUUCUAAAUAGGACGAAACGUGCAUCCUGGAU
Non-coding RNA from Schistosoma mansoni, 45 nucleotides. The record is from Rfam. NCBI's taxonomy places the organism in Eukaryota, Metazoa, Platyhelminthes, Trematoda, Strigeidida, Schistosomatidae.